Molecule: ribosomal RNA, 398 nt
Filed under: uncultured bacterium
Lineage: Bacteria
Description: bacterial SSU rRNA
Rfam family: Bacterial small subunit ribosomal RNA
Source: RNAcentral
GACGAACGCUGGCGGCGUGCUUAACACAUGCAAGUCGAGCGGUAAGGCCCUUUCGGGGGUACACGAGCGGCGAACGGGUGAGUAACACGUGGGUGACCUGCCCUCAGCUCUGGGAUAAGCCUGGGAAACCGGGUCUAAUACUGGAUAUGACUCCAUGACGCAUGUUGUGGGGUGGAAAGCCUUGUGCGGCUGAGGAUGGGCCCGCGGCCUAUCAGCUUGUUGGUGGGGUGAGGCCUACCAAGGCGACGACGGGUAGCCGGCCUGAGAGGGCGACCGGCCACACUGGGACUGAGACACGGCCCAGACUCCUACGGGAGGCAGCAGUGGGGAAUCUUGCGCAAUGGGCGAAAGCCUGACGCAGCGACGCCGCGUGAGGGAUGACGGCCUCGGUGUAACCC